AUUAGAUGAGCGCUAUAUUAGAUUAGCUAGUUGGUGGAGUAAUAGCCUACCAAGGCAAUGAUCUAUAGCUGAUCUGAGAGGAUGAUCAGCCACACUGGAACUGAGAUACGGUCCAGACUCCUACGGGAGGCAGCAGUGGGGAAUAUUGGACAAUGGGCGAAAGCCUGAUCCAGCUAUGCCGCAUGAGUGAAGAAGGCCUUUGGGUUGUAAAGCUCUUUUAGUGAGGAAGAUAAUGACGGUACUCACAGAAGAAGUCCUGGCUAACUCCGUGCCAGCAGCCGCGGUAAUACGGAGAGGGCUAGCGUUAUUCGGAAUUAUUGGGCGUAAAGGGCGCGUAGGCUGAUUAAUAAGUUAAAAGUGAAAUCCCGAGGCUUAACCUUGGAAUUGCUUUUAAAACUAUUAAUCUAGAGAUUGAAAGAGGAUAGAGGAAUUCCUGAUGUAGAGGUAAAAUUCGUAAAUAUUAGGAGGAACACCAGUGGCGAAGGCGUCUAUCUGGUUCAAAUCUGACGCUGAGGCGCGAAGGCGUGGGGAGCAAACAGGAUUAGAUACCCUGGUAGUCCACGCUAUAAACGAUGAAUGUUAAAUAUGGGAAG
This 593-nucleotide ribosomal RNA is filed under the name Wolbachia sp. RNAcentral describes it as "bacterial SSU rRNA". It matches the Rfam family "Bacterial small subunit ribosomal RNA", at positions 220 to 829 of the family's 1533-position model. The record is from RNAcentral. Lineage: Bacteria; Pseudomonadati; Pseudomonadota; Alphaproteobacteria; Rickettsiales; Anaplasmataceae.